This is a long non-coding RNA of Mytilus californianus (California mussel), 531 nucleotides long. RefSeq lists it as uncharacterized. The record is from RefSeq and is a predicted model, not a curated record. The transcript is spliced from 3 exons. NCBI's taxonomy places the organism in Eukaryota, Metazoa, Mollusca, Bivalvia, Mytilida, Mytilidae.
UGCAUUUGAUAUAAGCCAUUUAGAGAAAACUAUAUGCGCUAGUAUUUUAUUGAUAUCUUAUGAAAACAAUUUGUAGUCAGGAUUUAAAGUAAUUUUAAAUUAUCUUGGAUUGUAAACCAGCAUAUUAAAACAAAUUAAAAUGAUGUCUAUGAAUACACAUGAAAACAAAAACCAGGAGAAACGAGAUCCAUCGCAAAGGUAUUUCCAGGAGUUAAUCUGCAAAAUUUGCAGAAACUGUCUAAGUAAUUUGCUGUAUUUUCCUUGUCGCCAUUUAUGUACUUGUCAGUCCUGUGGUGAACAGUUGAAAAGGUGUAUAGAUUGCAAUGCUGUAAUAAAAGCAACACUGAUUGUACAAUAUAGCUGUUAAAACUAUGUGAUGAAUUAUAAUUGAUGUGUAAGAGAAUAAGCCAGAGACAAAACCAUGUAUUUUAAGUAUUUAGCAAAAUUAAACAAAUGCAAUGUUAAAUCAAUUUUGUAAUUAUUUCUUUAGAGCGCAACAGCUCGUUCCGAGAGCAAUUAUUAUGUUUUGUA